Molecule: ribosomal RNA, 399 nt
Filed under: uncultured bacterium
Lineage: Bacteria
Description: bacterial SSU rRNA
Rfam family: Bacterial small subunit ribosomal RNA
Source: RNAcentral
GGGAAUAUUGGACAAUGGGCGCAAGCCUGAUCCAGCCAUGCCGCGUGAGUGAUGACGGCCUUAGGGUUGUAAAGCUCUUUCGCACGCGACGAUAAUGACGGUAGCGUGAGAAGAAGCCCCGGCUAACUUCGUGCCAGCAGCCGCGGUAAUACGAAGGGGGCUAGCGUUGUUCGGAUUAACUGGGCGUAAAGGGUGCGUAGGCGGAUUUUUAAGUCAGGGGUGAAAUCCCAAGGCUCAACCUUGGAACGGCCUUUGAUACUGGGGAUCUUGAGUCCGGGAGAGGUGAGUGGAACUGCGAGUGUAGAGGUGAAAUUCGUAGAUAUUCGCAAGAACACCAGUGGCGAAGGCGGCUCACUGGCCCGGAACUGACGCUGAGGCACGAAAGCGUGGGGAGCAAAC